AGCUUAGUGGCCGAAUUAAGGUGUUAGAUUGUAAAUCUACUCAUGGAGCUAUCCCUAAGCUA
RNAcentral lists this transfer RNA (62 nucleotides) under Phallocryptus tserensodnomi. RNAcentral describes it as "tRNA-Tyr". The record is from RNAcentral. Lineage: Eukaryota; Metazoa; Arthropoda; Branchiopoda; Anostraca; Thamnocephalidae.